UAUAAAGUGGCGAACGGCUGAGUAACACGUGGGCAACCUGCCCUUUGCACUGGGAUAGCCUCGGGAAACCGAGGUUAAUACCGGAUACUCCAUAUUUGUCGCAUGGCGAAUAUGGGAAAGCUCCGGCGGCAAAGGAUGGGCCCGCGGCCUGUUAGCUAGUUGGUGGGGUAGUGGCCUACCAAGGCAAUGAUGGGUAGCCGGGUUGAGAGACCGACCGGCCAGAUUGGGACUGAGACACGGCCCAGACUCCUACGGGAGGCAGCAGG
Molecule: ribosomal RNA, 266 nt
Filed under: uncultured Atopobium sp.
Lineage: Bacteria; Bacillati; Actinomycetota; Coriobacteriia; Coriobacteriales; Atopobiaceae
Description: partial 16S ribosomal RNA
Rfam family: Bacterial small subunit ribosomal RNA
Source: RNAcentral